UGAGGAAUAUUGGUCAAUGGACGCAAGUCUGAACCAGCCAAGUAGCGUGCAGGAUGACGGCCCUAUGGGUUGUAAACUGCUUUUAUAUGGGGAUAAAGUGGGGAACGUGUUCCCUUUUGCAGGUACCAUAUGAAUAAGGACCGGCUAAUUCCGUGCCAGCAGCCGCGGUAAUACGGAAGGUUCGGGCGUUAUCCGGAUUUAUUGGGUUUAAAGGGAGCGUAGGCCGUUUGGUAAGCGUGUUGUGAAAUGUAGGAGCUCAACUUCUAGAUUGCAGCGCGAACUGUCAGACGUGAGUGCGCACAACGUAGGCGGAAUUCAUGGUGUAGCGGUGAAAUGCUUAGAUAUCAUGAAGAACUCCGAUUGCGAAGGCAGCUUACGGGAGCGCAACUGACGCUGAAGCUCGAAGGUGCGGGUAUCGAACAGG
RNAcentral lists this ribosomal RNA (424 nucleotides) under Verrucomicrobiota bacterium. Its description in RNAcentral is "Verrucomicrobia bacterium partial 16S ribosomal RNA". It matches the Rfam family "Bacterial small subunit ribosomal RNA", at positions 355 to 776 of the family's 1533-position model. The record is from RNAcentral. Lineage: Bacteria; Pseudomonadati; Verrucomicrobiota.